AGUGGGAGGAAGUGUCACAGCUCUUUUAUUUCUGCCACCCACAGCUUGGUGAGUAGGAGCAUUACAGCUCUUUUGCUCCCACAGUUCAGCAAAUUCUGAGUUCCUGUCCCAUGACCAAGAGGAAUGAGGAACAUGGACACCGGAGAAUGAGUAAGGCAGAGUAGAAUUUUAUUCAUCAGCGAGAGGGGACCUGAAAGCAGGUCGCCAUCUGUGAGGCAUUGGUUACAUGAAAACCGUGUGACAACCUUGGAAGUCUGAAAGAGCAGGAGAGAGGCUAAGCACACACAUAUUGUGAUUUUAAGAGUCUCAAGGUGAGAAGAAACAUCAGAAGCAGUUGAGAGACCAGGACGUGGGUCCUCAAAGGAUGAACAGAAGUUCUUUUGGAUAACAUUUUAAAAUGUUUCCUCCAGAGUUAUCUGCCUCAUUAACAAUGGUUUGAGUCUCAAGAGUCUCUCUUCGAUUUUACAAACAUGAUUUGUUGCUCUGCUAUAAAUGCAUGCUGCUCUAGUCCUUCAAUAAAC
This 521-nucleotide long non-coding RNA is filed under the name Homo sapiens (human). RNAcentral's name for it is "PREDICTED lncRNA (TCONS_00208399)". Lineage: Eukaryota; Metazoa; Chordata; Mammalia; Primates; Hominidae. The record is from RNAcentral.